UGGGGAAUUUUGGACAAUGGGCGAAAGCCUGAUCCAGCAAUGCCGCGUGUGUGAAGAAGGCCUUCGGGUUGUAAAGCACUUUUGUCCGGAAAGAAAUCCUUGGCUCUAAUACAGUCGGGGGAUGACGGUACCGGAAGAAUAAGCACCGGCUAACUACGUGCCAACAGCCGCGGUAAUACGUAGGGUGCAAGCGUUAAUCGGAAUUACUGGGCGUAAAGCGUGCGCAGGCGGUUUGCUAAGACCGAUGUGAAAUCCCCGGGCUCAACCUGGGAACUGCAUUGGUGACUGGCAGGCUAGAGUAUGGCAGAGGGGGGUAGAAUUCCACGUGUAGCAGUGAAAUGCGUAGAGAUGUGGAGGAAUACCGAUGGCGAAGGCAGCCCCCUGGGCCAAUACUGACGCUCAUGCACGAAAGCGUGGGGAGCAAACAGGAUUAGAUACCCUGGUAGUCCACGCCCUAAACGAUGUCAACUAGUUGUUGGGGAUUCAUUUCCUUAGUAACGUAGCUAACGCGUGAAGUUGACCGCCUGGGGAGUACGGUCGCAAGAUUAAAACUUAAAGGAAUUGAC
RNAcentral lists this ribosomal RNA (566 nucleotides) under uncultured bacterium. RNAcentral describes it as "partial 16S ribosomal RNA". It matches the Rfam family "Bacterial small subunit ribosomal RNA", at positions 355 to 914 of the family's 1533-position model. The record is from RNAcentral.